This 1583-nucleotide ribosomal RNA is filed under the name metagenome. Its description in RNAcentral is "bacterial LSU rRNA". It matches the Rfam family "Bacterial large subunit ribosomal RNA", at positions 1361 to 2925 of the family's 2925-position model. The record is from RNAcentral.
UACGUUAAUCGGGGCAGGGUGAGUCGACCCCUAAGGCGAGGCCGAAAGGCGUAGUCGAUGGGAAACAGGUUAAUAUUCCUGUACUUGGUGUUACUGCGAAGGGGGGACGGAGAAGGCUAUGUUGGCCGGGCGACGGUUGUCCCGGUUUAAGCGUGUAGGCUGGUUUUCCAGGCAAAUCCGGAAAAUCAAGGCUGAGGCGUGAUGACGAGGCACUACGGUGCUGAAGCAACAAAUGCCCUGCUUCCAGGAAAAGCCUCUAAGCAUCAGGUAACAUCAAAUCGUACCCCAAACCGACACAGGUGGUCAGGUAGAGAAUACCAAGGCGCUUGAGAGAACUCGGGUGAAGGAACUAGGCAAAAUGGUGCCGUAACUUCGGGAGAAGGCACGCUGAUAUGUAGGUGAAGCGACUUGCUCGUGGAGCUGAAAUCAGUCGAAGAUACCAGCUGGCUGCAACUGUUUAUUAAAAACACAGCACUGUGCAAACACGAAAGUGGACGUAUACGGUGUGACGCCUGCCCGGUGCCGGAAGGUUAAUUGAUGGGGUCAGCGCAAGCGGAGCUCUUGAUCGAAGCCCCGGUAAACGGCGGCCGUAACGAUAACGGUCCUAAGGUAGCGAAAUUCCUUGUCGGGUAAGUUCCGACCUGCACGAAUGGCGUAAUGAUGGCCAGGCUGUCUCCACCCGAGACUCAGUGAAAUUGAACUCGCUGUGAAGAUGCAGUGUACCCGCGGCAAGACGGAAAGACCCCGUGAACCUUUACUAUAGCUUGACACUGAACAUUGAGCCUUGAUGUGUAGGAUAGGUGGGAGGCUUUGAAGUGUGGACGCCAGUCUGCAUGGAGCCGACCUUGAAAUACCACCCUUUAAUGUUUGAUGUUCUAACGUGGACCCGUGAUCCGGGUUGCGGACAGUGUCUGGUGGGUAGUUUGACUGGGGCGGUCUCCUCCUAAAGAGUAACGGAGGAGCACGAAGGUUGGCUAAUCCUGGUCGGACAUCAGGAGGUUAGUGCAAUGGCAUAAGCCAGCUUGACUGCGAGCGUGACGGCGCGAGCAGGUGCGAAAGCAGGUCAUAGUGAUCCGGUGGUUCUGAAUGGAAGGGCCAUUGCUCAACGGAUAAAAGGUACUCCGGGGAUAACAGGCUGAUACCGCCCAAGAGUUCAUAUCGACGGCGGUGUUUGGCACCUCGAUGUCGGCUCAUCACAUCCUGGAGCUGAAGUAGGUCCCAAGGGUAUGGCUGUUCGCCAUUUAAAGUGGUACGCGAGCUGGGUUUAGAACGUCGUGAGACAGUUCGGUCCCUAUCUGCCGUGGGCGCUGGAGAACUGAGGGGGGCUGCUCCUAGUACGAGAGGACCGGAGUGGACGCAUCACUGGUGUUCGGGUUGUCAUGCCAAUGGCACUGCCCGGUAGCUAAAUGCGGAAGAGAUAAGUGCUGAAAGCAUCUAAGCACGAAACUUGCCCCGAGAUGAGUUCUCCCUGACUCCUUGAGAGUCCUGAAGGAACGUUGAAGACGACGACGUUGAUAGGCCGGGUGUGUAAGCGCAGCGAUGCGCUGAGCUAACCGGUACUAAUGAACCGUGAGGCUUAACUC